CAUGCAGUCGAGGGGCAGCAUUUCAGUUUGCUUGCAAACUGGAGAUGGCGACCGGCGCACGGGUGAGUAACACGUAUCCAACCUGCCGAUAACUCGGGGAUAGCCUUUCGAAAGAAAGAUUAAUACCCGAUGGUAUAAUUAGACCGCAUGGUCUUGUUAUUAAAGAAUUUCGGUUAUCGAUGGGGAUGCGUUCCAUUAGGCAGUUGGUGAGGUAACGGCUCACCAAACCUUCGAUGGAUAGGGGUUCUGAGAGGAAGGUCCCCCACAUUGGAACUGAGACACGGUCCAAACUCCUACGGGAGGCAGCAGUGAGGAAUAUUGGUCAAUGGGCGCAGGCCUGAACCAGCCAAGUAGCGCGAAGGAUGACUGCCCUAUGGGUUGUAAACUUCUUUUAUAUGGGAAUAAAGUUUUCCACGUGUGGAAUUUUGUAUGUACCAUAUGAAUAAGGAUCGGCUAACUCCGUGCCAGCAGCCGCGGUAAUACGGAGGAUCCGAGCGUUAUCCGGAUUUAUUGGGUUUAAAGGGAGCGUAGGUGGACAGUUAAGUCAGUUGUGAAAGUUUGCGGCUCAACCGUAAAAUUGCAGUUGAUACUGGCUGUCUUGAGUACAGUAGAGGUGGGCGGAAUUCGUGGUGUAGCGGUGAAAUGCUUAGAUAUCACGAAGAACUCCGAUUGCGAAGGCAGCUCACUGGACUGCAACUGACACUGAUGCUCGAAAGUGUGGGUAUCAAACAGGAUUAGAUACCCUGUAGUCCACACAGUAAACGAUGAAUACUCGCUGUUUGCGAAUAUAACAGUAAGCGGCCAAGCGAAAGCAUUAA
Molecule: ribosomal RNA, 818 nt
Filed under: uncultured bacterium
Lineage: Bacteria
Description: bacterial SSU rRNA
Rfam family: Bacterial small subunit ribosomal RNA
Source: RNAcentral